GACGAACGCUGGCGGCGUGCUUAACACAUGCAAGUCGAACGGAAAGGCUCCAGCUUGCUGGAGUACUCGAGUGGCGAACGGGUGAGUAACACGUGGGUAAUCUGCCCUGCACUCUGGGAUAAGCCUGGGAAACUGGGUCUAAUACUGGAUAUGACCUUUCUCCUUAUGGGGUUUGGUGGAAAGUUUUUCGGUGUAGGAUGAGCCCGCGGCCUAUCAGCUUGUUGGUGGGGUGAUGGCUUACCAAGGCGACGACGGGUAGCCGGCCUGAAAGGGUGAUCGGCCACAUUGGGACUGAGAUACGGCCCAGACUCCUACGGGAGGCAGCAGUGGGGAAUAUUGCACAAUGGGCGGAAGCCUGAUGCAGCGACGCCGCGUGAGGGAUGACGGCCUUCGGGUUGUAAACCUCUUUCAGCAGGGACGAAGCGUAAGUGACGGUACCUGCAGAAGAAGCACCGGCUAACUAUGUG
This 467-nucleotide ribosomal RNA is filed under the name uncultured bacterium. RNAcentral describes it as "partial 16S ribosomal RNA". It matches the Rfam family "Bacterial small subunit ribosomal RNA", at positions 28 to 507 of the family's 1533-position model. The record is from RNAcentral.